CACCAACUAAGGAAAGUGACGAGCUUGCAGAUGGAUAAAUUAUCUGACUCUACUCGAUUGAAGAGGAUUCGGCCUGAUUUCCCGCUACAAGAUGGUUUAUGCUUGGAUUGGCUUCCCACUAAUUGGAUGUCGGGAGAUCGGUUAUGCGCCUGACUGUGCAGGGUGUCAUAGGACCGGUCAUCGACGACAUCGAUUUCAUUACCGACGAUAGGACGGAUAUCAAAUUUGGACCAAAAAUCGAUGCCCAGGAUGCACGCACGAUUCAGAUCCGGUGCGAUGAUGACUGGUGAAAGCGUAGGGCACGUUCACUCAACUGUCGCUUACCUAACGGAUCGAUCCUACGGAUGGUUAGCUCGUAAUCCAGCUCGUCGACUGUGAGAUGAGCACAGUUCAUCCCAUAGUACAGGACAUACAAGUGGGACAUAUCCAUUUUGAGAAGCCAAGGUAUAAAUGAUUUUUUUUACGAAGUAAAUACUGAUAGAUAGAGAAAAACUUAAUCACUACAAUAACCUACUCUAAUUUUAACGUAUUUUUAAUAAUGAAAAACUAAUUAAAUUGAAUAACUAAAUAAGAAAGUUAUGAUUAAUUGAUUGACCUAAUACGGGAAUAUUAGACCCAAUUCAAAAAUGUUAAACUAUAGUGUAUAACGGAAA
This is a long non-coding RNA of Uranotaenia lowii, 653 nucleotides long. RefSeq lists it as uncharacterized. The transcript has 3 exons. Lineage: Eukaryota; Metazoa; Arthropoda; Insecta; Diptera; Culicidae. The record is from RefSeq and is a predicted model, not a curated record.